This 72-nucleotide transfer RNA is filed under the name Tetrabrachium ocellatum (four-armed frogfish). RNAcentral's name for it is "tRNA-Lys". It matches the Rfam family "tRNA". Rfam says of the family: Transfer RNA (tRNA) molecules are approximately 80 nucleotides in length. Their secondary structure includes four short double-helical elements and three loops (D, anti-codon, and T loops). Lineage: Eukaryota; Metazoa; Chordata; Actinopteri; Lophiiformes; Tetrabrachiidae. The record is from RNAcentral.
CACUAAGUAGCUAAAUGGGUAAGCGUUAGCCUUUUAAGCUGAAGAUUGGCGGUUGCCAACCGCUUUUAGUGA